GCCGGUCCUCGGUAGUGGCCUUCGGAGCACGCGAGAGCGCGCACCCCGGUGGCUUCGAUCGAAGACCGGC
This is a regulatory RNA element of Streptomyces sp. CNQ-509, 70 nucleotides long. It matches the Rfam family "Actino-pnp RNA". NCBI's taxonomy places the organism in Bacteria, Bacillati, Actinomycetota, Actinomycetes, Kitasatosporales, Streptomycetaceae. The record is from Rfam.